AUUUAGCAAUAAACCAUGUUAAUCCUCAUGCUUAACUUGCUCUCUGUUAAUGUCUGCCAUUCUAGUUGUUCGUUGAAUAGUUUCCUGUUCUCUCUCUAUUAAACUGCAGGUUUUGAUUCUGACAGACUGAACGACUUCAUACUGUUAUGGCUCAGUUUCAUAGGCAUACGCUGUCAGGAUGCUGAUAAUAGAGCAAUGCCAAGGAGAAAGUUGCGAAGAGUACCUGAUGUAAAAUAUUCUGACACAUUCAAGUAUGAUCUCGCAAGAGUUUAAUGAGCAGGAGUUUCCUUCUAAUUCCGGGCCUAUGCGAGUCCAGGAUCAACUUUUGGAUAAUGAGACUCGUGUGCUUGAGGUUGAGUUAGCAAGCCUUCUAUAUGCUGUUCAAGAGACGGAAUCGAAGAUGGUGGAGAUGUAAGCAUUUAAUCAUCUCAUGUCCACUCAUGUCCUACAACAGGCUCAGCAAAUUGAGCAUUUAUAUGAGCAGGCCAUUGAAGCUGCAAAGAAUGUGGGGAAGUGUAACAAGGAGCUGGCAUAAGCAAUUAAGCGAAAUAGUAACAUGCAGCAGAACUUUUCUAUUUAUUUUCUUAUUUAUCCUUAC
Molecule: long non-coding RNA, 598 nt
Organism: Asparagus officinalis (garden asparagus)
Lineage: Eukaryota; Viridiplantae; Streptophyta; Magnoliopsida; Asparagales; Asparagaceae
Exons: 3
Source: RefSeq, a predicted model, not a curated record